Triticum aestivum (bread wheat) is the source of this 2959-nucleotide long non-coding RNA. RefSeq lists it as uncharacterized. The transcript is spliced from 5 exons. NCBI's taxonomy places the organism in Eukaryota, Viridiplantae, Streptophyta, Magnoliopsida, Poales, Poaceae. The record is from RefSeq and is a predicted model, not a curated record.
AACCCGCAGUUCUUUGUAAGGUGAUUUUUUUGGCUCUCCUUUAGUUCGUUCUCUCCGUCGCCUCCCGAUCCCAGCCGUCAAGAGGCGCGAUCCCGCGCCGUGCUCGAUACGGUGCCGCGCCGGCCGCCGGCCGACGACGGCGAUUGCAGCGCCCUUCGCCACCGUUUCGCUUCAACUCCUCUCCUCCGCGUGCCUGAGCUCCUUGCUGUGCGCCGCCCGGGAGGGCUCGCACUCGAUGCAGAACAUCGGCGGACGGAACUUGCAGGACCCAGAUCCGUGCGUGGCGAUGGGGAGGUCGCCGGUGACGCGUAGGAAGGCCGGAGUGCGGCUUCCCGGGCGGAUCCAUGGCGGCCCCUGGGCAGAAAGGAGAUAUGAGGUGAGGGAGAAAGAACGGACGGUGCGACGAUCUCGGCAGGAACUCGCAGGAGCCAGGCGACGGUAGACAGGCGCGGGAGACAGAGGGAUCCGGCGCGGCGGCGCGAAGUCCUUGCAGGUGGAUGCAUGUUGGGUUCCUCCGGCUGUCACCGACGUGCACUGACAGGUGAGGAACAUAGAAACAUGGAUUGAAUCCGUUGUCGGUAAAGAAAAUGUUGGCUCGGAUGUUAUGGGCACAACCGGUGAGAUGGUUGUUGUGUGGAUAGAGAAUCAGCUCCAUGAAAACAAAACAAAGGAGCUGAUAUUGCAAUAGGUUAACCAGCUGCGUGAGCAUCUACGGAGCCCGAACAGGGAGUCAACAGUCAGCUGCUAUCAGAUCUCGAAAAUGCGGGUUCUUUUAAGACCACCAUGGAUCCCUCACCCCAAGUCAUGAUCCAGUUGCUGAAUGUCCACAAGAAAAUUUAUGUAUUAAAGGGACCUCAUUCCCCAAGCUACUGGACGAAAAAUAAAAUGUAUGCAUGCGCCAAUGAAGUCCAACAAUUAAUCCUCAUGUGUGUCCAAAUAUUUUGUCUGAGAAGUCCGAAUGUUCAGUGUUGGAAAAGUAUACCUCCCGCUGAUAGAACAAGGGAAAGAUCGUUUCGUUGAUGGCGAGUUCACACUGAUGCUGAUCACCGGCGCGCGUUGGCAGUGUCAUGCUGCUUGGUCGGCACUGCAACUACACAGCUAAGCAGGAGAUGAUAGCGUCUCAAACUGGACUUUUUGAUCAUUUGAUAAACGUUUUGAAAUUCAAGCGUGGUCCUCUUAUGCAACCUGUGACCUAUUACUUCUUAAUUUAUGGACUUUAAGUUUCAGUCAUCCCUAUAUCAUCAGGUAAUAUAACAAGGCUGUUGUUUAGAUCAUAUAAUCAAGCAUGUCUUAUCGAAAUUAGUGAUUGCCAUGUUUGUUGAAUUAAAGUUUCACUUGUCAGAUCAGUUUCCACACAUUGAAUUUUACUUAGGGUACCUCUUAAGGUUUUACCUUCUGCAAAGGUAUAACACCUACAGAUGAUCCGAUUUUUCUUCUUCUAGAUCCCCAUGUGUGUGUGUAUAUGCGCGUGGGUAACUAAUUUGCCCCGUGUAUAGGUAGACAACGAUCAAUAUGAGAGGGUGCUCAGCUACAUAUUGAUCCUUGUCAAUUCAGUACAAAUUUACUGAAUUUACAGAUGGAGCUAUAUGUCCUCGGUGAUGUACAAGCAAACACUAAAUUGUUGCAGUGUACAAUGUCCCUGAGUAAUUCCUGGCGCUACAAGUUUUAAAAUAAAAAGAUGACGGGUCUCUACCAUAUUCAGCCUCCGCUUUAGAAUUUGAUUUGAACUAUAGGACAACCGAUUGCAUUUGGUAAUUUAUGCACUAAUUCUCGGUCCUUUGUGUGAGCUAUGUUUUCCUUGCGCUUUUGCUUCUUAUUUACAUAUUGGUAUGGUGUCAGGUUUACUUGCCUACAAGUUUGGUUCCACUUGGUAUGGACACCGUGCUCUGCUGUCAGCAUAUCUGUAGUAUCAGGAUAUUGUUACGACCUUGAAUGCUGAAUUUAAGGAUGUCUUAUCAUGUAUUACUUUGACUCCCUUCUGAAUUAUGAGGUCAUCCCAUAGUCGUCCACUAAUCUGGUGUCUGGUCCAUCUUCUUACCCUUAUCAUCCUCUGUCCAAUCUUGCCCUGACUGUACAGAUUGUCGAAUACUUCAAACAAUGAGCAAUUUGAAGUUCAUAAAUAUGACAAAUAUCUGAAAAUGGAUUCAUUUUUGUUGAAAUAACAUUGUGUAGAGUGGAAAUGCAGAACUAUAUGUUCCUAUUUCAACAACUGGUAUUGAAUAUAUGGUCAACCUUCUUAGAAAAAACUACAAAGUCUAAACAUUAUCGUGUGAUGCAUAUGGAAAAUUGUGAUGUCUAUUUUUCUGAAAUAUUUUUACUUUAGAAAAAGUUUUAAACAUGCCAUUGCAUUAUGUUUCAUAUUUUUGGCCAAGACGCUCUGCGGGGCGAUGGCACAUGGUCGGCAAGGCAGCGUUCUACAGCGCACCAGCCCGCAACGGAGGCGGCGCCCACGGCGCAGCCGUGGCCUUCGGUGCGCACCGCGGGGGUAGUGCUACCGGCCGCUGGCACGGCCCCGGAGCUGCUUCCCCAGACGGUGGUGCCCAUGGCUGUGGGCCCAUUGGCCCCCGGCCGGGUUCCCUGCGGAGGCGCGCGGGUGGCGGCCUCUGACUUGAAGUCUUCUUGAGAUUUGUACGCCGAUUGCUUGGCCGUCGCUUUGUACUGUCACUACGUGUACUGAAGAUUAGUUAUUUUGCUUUGACUUGGAGUGAGGUGCAGCGGGUUCAGGUUGCUGCUGCUGAUUUUUUUGUAUGUGAUGUUCUAAUGAUUGUGUGUCUGACCAAGCGUAGUUGCGCUUCUGACAAUGUAUUGGCCUUCCUUUGCUGCACCGAAGUUAGUGAAUUGUUCACCAUGCUUGACUUUGUUCUAAGCAGGGAAAUUUGUGGUGAUUUGUAAUCAAACUUGCAAAGAACAUCAUUACUUCUGAUUAUGUUUGAAGAGAUAUGAUGGAUGGUUGAUCUGA